CGGCAAGAGCCCAAAUUUGAAAUCGGCCAACCGAGUUGUAAUUUGGAGACGGGACACUAGAGAGGAGGAAGGCGAUUAAGUGCCUUGGAACAGGCUGCCGUACAGGGUGAGAGCCCCGUGAAUCGCUGGAGACCGAUCAAUUAGUGCCCGCCGAAUAGUCAAGUUGUUUGGGAAUGCAGCUCUAAUUGGGUGGUAUAUUCCAUCUAAGGCUAAAUAUUAGCGAGAGACCGAUAUCAAACUUUUACAGUGAUGGAAAGAUGAAAAGAACUUUGGAAAGAGAGUGAAAUACUACGUGAAAUUGUUGAAAGGGAAGGGUAUUUGAUCCGACAUGGUGUUUACCAUCGGCCCGUUCCUCGUGGAUGGGUGCACCUGGUUUACACUGGGCCAGCAUCGGUUCUGGGAGCCAUAUACGGGGUUCGUGAAUGUGGCCCUUCCAUUCUGUCGGAGGCUGUUAUAUCGCGGACAUCUUGUGGCUAGCCA
RNAcentral lists this ribosomal RNA (480 nucleotides) under Brettanomyces bruxellensis. Its description in RNAcentral is "partial large subunit ribosomal RNA". It matches the Rfam family "Eukaryotic large subunit ribosomal RNA", at positions 99 to 600 of the family's 3401-position model. The record is from RNAcentral. Lineage: Eukaryota; Fungi; Ascomycota; Pichiomycetes; Pichiales; Pichiaceae.